Acanthosepion pharaonis is the source of this 114-nucleotide non-coding RNA. Lineage: Eukaryota; Metazoa; Mollusca; Cephalopoda; Sepiida; Sepiidae. The record is from the annotation of a GenBank genome assembly.
UUACGGUCAUAUCCCCUUAAAACACCAGUUCACGUACAAUCACCAAAGUUAAGCAACAUCGAGCCUGGUCAUUACCUAGAUAGGUGACCACUUGGGAAUGCCAGGUGCUGUAAG